Phrynosoma platyrhinos (Desert horned lizard) is the source of this 72-nucleotide non-coding RNA. NCBI's taxonomy places the organism in Eukaryota, Metazoa, Chordata, Lepidosauria, Squamata, Phrynosomatidae. The record is from the annotation of a GenBank genome assembly.
GCCAGCAUGGUGUAGUGGUCUGAACACUGGACUAGGACUCCGGAAGACCAGGAUUCAAAUCCCUGCUUGACC